UAGCCAAGGAUGAGUUGCCUG
RNAcentral lists this microRNA (21 nucleotides) under Theobroma cacao (cacao). Lineage: Eukaryota; Viridiplantae; Streptophyta; Magnoliopsida; Malvales; Malvaceae. The record is from RNAcentral.